This 233-nucleotide long non-coding RNA is filed under the name Lathyrus oleraceus (garden pea). Its description in RNAcentral is "Pisum sativum (pea) long non-coding RNA (PSAT_LNC024369)". Lineage: Eukaryota; Viridiplantae; Streptophyta; Magnoliopsida; Fabales; Fabaceae. The record is from RNAcentral.
UAAUUUCAUUUAAUUCCUUUUAUUUUCAAAAAUUCAUAAAUAUUUUAUUUGAAGUCACAAAAAUAUGAGACCAAUGCCAAAAAAAAUCUUGAAAAAUCUAGUUUCAUAUUGUUUUAAUUUCAUUUAAUUCCUUUUAUUUUCAAAAAUUCAUAAAUAUUUUAUUUGAAGUCACAAAAAUAUGAGACCAAUGCCAAAAAAAAUCUUGAAAAAUCUAGUUUCAUAUUUUGAUUUUU